CCUACGGGAGGCAGCAGUGAGGAAUAUUGGUCAAUGGCCGGGAGGCUGAACCAGCCAAGUCGCGUGAGGGACGACGGCCCUACGGGUUGUAAACCUCUUUUGUCAGGGAGCAAGGUGCAGGUCGGGACCUGCUGUGAGAGUACCUGAAGAAAAAGCAUCGGCUAACUCCGUGCCAGCAGCCGCGGUAAUACGGAGGAUGCGAGCGUUAUCCGGAUUUAUUGGGUUUAAAGGGUGCGCAGGCGGAGGCACAAGUCAGCGGUAAAAUCGCGGGGCUCAACCCCGCUCCGCCGUUGAAACUGUGUGCCUUGAGUGCGCGAAGGGUAGGCGGAAGGCGUGGUGUAGCGGUGAAAUGCAUAGAUAGCACGCAGAACUCCGAUCGCGAAGGCAGCCUACCGGCGCGAAACUGACGCUCAUGCACGAAAGCGUGGGUAUCGAACAGGAUUAGAUACCCCAGUAGUC
This 459-nucleotide ribosomal RNA is filed under the name uncultured bacterium. Its description in RNAcentral is "partial 16S ribosomal RNA". It matches the Rfam family "Bacterial small subunit ribosomal RNA", at positions 338 to 795 of the family's 1533-position model. The record is from RNAcentral.